This 541-nucleotide ribosomal RNA is filed under the name Pelobates cultripes (western spadefoot toad). It matches the Rfam family "Eukaryotic small subunit ribosomal RNA", at positions 51 to 580 of the family's 1831-position model. The record is from RNAcentral. Lineage: Eukaryota; Metazoa; Chordata; Amphibia; Anura; Pelobatidae.
AUGCAUGGAGAAAUGCUCAACUCCUGAUGCAUGGAGAAAAGGCCUUCACAAGCCUCUGCUAAUGUGUACCUAGUUUAUACUAAGUGACCCAUAGGUUGAUUUUACUUGGGGUAGCCCCCAAAAUAUUGGGACAUAUAAAAAAACACAACUCUGUUCCGCAGAGUAGUUGUUGACAUUAUAGUUGCGCAGGCACUUAGUUGACUCUAGAGAACCUCUGGCCAAUCGCACAUCCCCGUGACGGCGACUUUGUAUUCAGAUGCCAUCCAUAUCAACUUUCGAUGCCAGUUUCUGCGCCUACCAUGGUGACCAUGGGUAACGGGGAAUCAGGGUUCCAUUCCGUACAGGGACCCUGAGAAACGGCCACAACACGCAAGGAAGGCAACAGGCGCGCAAAUGACCCACUCCAGACGUGGGAAGGUAGUGACGACAAAUAACAAUACAGGACUCUUUAGAGGCCUUGUAAUUGUAAUGAGUCCACUUGAAAUCAUUUAACUCUGAUCAAUUGGAGGGAAGUCUGGUGCAGAGCCACUGGCCCAUGCGU